RNAcentral lists this ribosomal RNA (440 nucleotides) under uncultured bacterium. Its description in RNAcentral is "partial 16S ribosomal RNA". It matches the Rfam family "Bacterial small subunit ribosomal RNA", at positions 338 to 795 of the family's 1533-position model. The record is from RNAcentral.
CCUACGGGAGGCAGCAGUGGGGAAUAUUGCACAAUGGGGGAAACCCUGAUGCAGCGACGCCGCGUGAAGGAAGACGUAUUUCGGUAUGUAAACUUCUAUCAGCAGGGAAGAAAGUGACGGUACCUGACUAAGAAGCCCCGGCUAACUACGGGCCAGCAGCCGCGGUAAUACGUAGGGGGCAAGCGUUAUCCGGAUUUACUGGGUGUAAAGGGAGAGUAGGCGGCUUAGCAAGUCAGAAGUGAAAGCCCGGGGCUCAAAUUCGGGAGUGCUUUUGAAACUGUUGAACUAGAGUGCAGGAGAGGUAAGUGGAAUUCCUAGUGUAGCGGUGAAAUGCGUAGAUAUUAGGAGGAACACCAGUGGCGAAGGCGGUCUGCUGGACAGCAACUGACGGUGAGGCGCGAAAGCGUGGGGAGCAAACAGGAUUAGAUACCCGGGUAGUC